Molecule: long non-coding RNA, 574 nt
Filed under: Fukomys damarensis (Damara mole-rat)
Lineage: Eukaryota; Metazoa; Chordata; Mammalia; Rodentia; Bathyergidae
Description: lncRNA (ENSFDAG00000024977.1)
Source: RNAcentral
UGUGAUCAAUCUGGUUUACCAAGUCGUACUUUUCCAAAAACGUCUUCCACGCGGUCAAGUAUACUCUAUCAAGACAUAGGUUCUGUUACAUCAUUUUCCUCUGCUUUCAAGAACCAGCUCGGCCAGCGCGGGCAUCUCCAGGGCUUUUACAAACUUGUUCACUUCGCCGCAGUUAGGAACCGAUACUCACGAGGCUUGCAAGAGUGUAGUAUUUUCCGAGCUACUGUUACUACCAGCUUCCGGUGUCCUUCCUCUAUCCUGAAUCACUUAAAGCACAACAGGUGCUCUUCCCUCAGGGAGCCCGAGUCAACAAGGUCAGGGCUACUCUUGCUCCAGCUGUGGAGUCUUGGGCGUUUGUUCACCUUUGGACCCAGCCGAAGUGAAUUCCUGCCACCGAUGCCCUUCACGAAAUCCUUGUGAUGAAUGGGACGGGUGGGGGUCUUGCCUCAUUAGGCGGAAAAUAACUGGUUUUCUGGGAGAGCGUUGCUUGGCCCCCCAUACAUAUUCUUUCCUGCAUCCUUCCUUCUGAUUAAUAAAAAAAAGUCUCUGCUAAAAAUGAACCACGGCUCCGGUA